AGCCCUGCCUGGCCUCCUUCCUUGCUGGAGCCAGACAGUUCCUUUCUUGACACUCGAUAUGACCUCUCCCAGACGUCACUCACGUCACUCACUCACGAAUGACGGAUGGAUUGACGGAUGCAGGGAUUCCCUCUGGGCACUGUCCCCACCCCCCUCAGCCCCUGCCCUGCAGAGCAGCUGCCUGGGGGUCCAGGCGUCAGAGGCGCCCAGGCAGCACCUAGAGAGGCUCCCUACAGGAGGCUGGGCAAUGUCUUCCUCAAGGAAAAAGGGGAAAACAGCACAAACCACACAAUAACAGACUCAUGAGUCCACUAGGGUCCUGGGAAGGGGGGAAGUCAAAAUCCUAGAGAGACACGUGUAUGUGCGUAUAAAUAUCCGUCUUUUUCCGAGUUGGCCAUAGCUUUGCCUCAUAUGAAAUGCAAUGGCUUAGAAUCCAGCGGUUCUCAACCUGUGGGUCGCGACCCCUUUGGCGGUCGAACGACCCUUUCACAGGGGUCGCCUAAGACCAUCCUGCAUAUCAGAUAUUUACAUUACGAUUCAUAACAGUAGCAACAUCACAGUUAUGAAAUAACAAUGAAAAUAAUUUUAUGGUUGGGUCACAACAUGAGGAACUGUAUUUAAAGGGCCAGAAGGUUGAGAACCACUGGCUUAGAUGCUCCUGAUCCCUCCCUCGGUGAUGCUAAGCUGGUCAUCAAACCGUCUAGCACAGGGCUGUGCACCAGGACCAGGAACGAUGGACUAGUCCCAGAUCUACACUGUCCGCCACGUGCGUCAGCCACAUCCAGCUCUUGCAAUGAAAGUGAACCAUGAUAAUCCCAUUGCUGGCCAUUCACGGCCUGGAGACCUUAGGGCUGGCUGGAGAGACACCUCCACCAAGGAAAACCAAACGUUUUGAAUGAAGUUAUGGAGACGGAAGAUCCGGGCCCUCCCCGGCCCCUCUCCCGCCUGCUGUAUAACACACAGAGCAUCUCGGGAUCCCAUCUGAUUCCUGAGGUGACCGAUGCAGGGUGUAAGCCAGGGGUGGUGCCAUUUUACAAAUGAAGAAACGAGGCCCAGAGGAGGCACACAGCUCCCCAGACCUGGAACGGAGCAGAGUCUCGAAUGCCUCCCCCAGGGCCCUGCCAUGUGCUGGUUUGGGCUCCUUCGUGUUCACCUGCAGGCGCACCUGGUGCAACAAAGGACUCGAGUGCCCAGAUGUCUCCUUUAGAGGUUCCACAUCAAGCCGCAUCUUUCUCUUAGCGCUCUCUGAUUAAAGCUAAUUGUCUUCACCUACCAA
Long non-coding RNA from Myotis lucifugus (little brown bat), 1276 nucleotides. RefSeq lists it as uncharacterized. The record is from RefSeq and is a predicted model, not a curated record. NCBI's taxonomy places the organism in Eukaryota, Metazoa, Chordata, Mammalia, Chiroptera, Vespertilionidae. The transcript has 2 exons.